CUACGUGCCAGCAGCCGCGGUAAUACGGAGGGUGCGAGCGUUAAUCGGAAUAACUGGGCGUAAAGGGCACGCAGGCGGUGACUUAAGUGAGGUGUGAAAGCCCCGGGCUUAACCUGGGAAUUGCAUUUCAUGCUGGGUCGCUAGAGUACUUUAGGGAGGGGUAGAAUUCCACGUGUAGCGGUGAAAUGCGUAGAGAUGUGGAGGAAUACCGAAGGCGAAGGCAGCCCCUUGGGAAUGUACUGACGCUCAUGUGCGAAAGCGUGGGGAGCAAACAGGAUUAGAUACCCUGGUAGUCCACGCUGUAAACGAUGUCGAUUUGGGGGUUGAACUUUAAGUUUGGCGCCCGUAGCUAACGUGAUAAAUCGACCGCCUGGGGAGUACGGCCGCAAGGUUAAAACUCAAAUGAAUUGACGGGGGCCCGCACAAGCGGUGGAGCAUGUGGUUUAAUUCGAUGCAACGCGAAGAACCUUACCUACUCUUGACAUCCAGAGAACAUUC
Molecule: ribosomal RNA, 498 nt
Filed under: uncultured bacterium
Lineage: Bacteria
Description: bacterial SSU rRNA
Rfam family: Bacterial small subunit ribosomal RNA
Source: RNAcentral